UACGUAGGGAGCGAGCGUUGUCCGGAAUUACUGGGUGUAAAGGGAGCGUAGGCGGGGAUGCAAGUUGGGUGUCAAAACUACCGGCUCAACUGGUAGUCGCACUCAAAACUGCAGCUCUUGAGUGAAGUAGAGGCAGGCGGAAUUCCCGGUGUAGCGGUGAAAUGCGUAGAGAUCGGGAGGAACACCAGUGGCGAAGGCGGCCUGCUGGGCUUUAACUGACGCUCAGGCACGAAAGCAUGGGUAGCAAACAGG
Molecule: ribosomal RNA, 252 nt
Filed under: uncultured Ruminococcus sp.
Lineage: Bacteria; Bacillati; Bacillota; Clostridia; Eubacteriales; Oscillospiraceae
Description: partial 16S ribosomal RNA
Rfam family: Bacterial small subunit ribosomal RNA
Source: RNAcentral